This 432-nucleotide ribosomal RNA is filed under the name uncultured bacterium. RNAcentral's name for it is "bacterial SSU rRNA". It matches the Rfam family "Bacterial small subunit ribosomal RNA", at positions 29 to 507 of the family's 1533-position model. The record is from RNAcentral.
AACGAACGCUGGCGGCAUGCCUAACACAUGCAAGUCGAACGAGACCUUCGGGUCUAGUGGCGCACGGGUGCGUAACGCGUGGGAACCUGCCUUUAGGUUCGGAAUAACUCAGAGAAAUUUGAGCUAAUACCGGAUGAUGUCUUCGGACCAAGAUUUAUCGCCUUUAGAUGGGCCCGCGUAAGAUUAGCUAGUUGGUGGGGUAAAGGCCUACCAAGGCGACGAUCUUUAGCUGGUCUGAGAGGAUGAUCAGCCACACUGGGACUGAGACACGGCCCAGACUCCUACGGGAGGCAGCAGUGGGGAAUAUUGGACAAUGGGCGAAAGCCUGAUCCAGCAAUGCCGCGUGAGUGAUGAAGGCCUUAGGGUUGUAAAGCUCUUUUACCCGAGAUGAUAAUGACAGUAUCGGGAGAAUAAGCUCCGGCUAACUCCGUG